AUGUCCUCAGGGACCCAUAGAUCUCUUUGGACACCCCAUAGAUGUCCUCAGGGACCCAUAGAUCUCCUCGGGGACCCCUUGGGCCCCACAGAACCCCAUAGAUCCCCCCCGUUGGGUCUGGAGACGUCCCAGUUUGGACCAGUACGGACCAGUAUGGACCAGUAUGGAUCAGUACGGCGGCCCAACUGGGAGCUCUUCACCCCCGUGGCCUUGCGUCUUCCCAGUAUGGACCAGUAUGGACCAGUUCAAGCAUCUCGCCUGGGAUCUCUUCACCCGCCGUGGCCUUGCCUCCUCCCAGUAUGGACCAGUAUGGACCAGUACGGACCAGUUACAGCAUCUCGCCCAGGAUCUCUUCACCCGCCGUGGCCUUGCCUCCUCCCAGUACGGAACCAGUAUGGACCAGUUAACAGCGUCUUGCCCGGGAUCUCUUCACCCGCCGUGGCCUUGUGUCCUCCCAGUAUGGACCAGUAUGGACCAGUAUGGACCAGUAUGGACCGGU
Molecule: long non-coding RNA, 499 nt
Filed under: Calidris pugnax (ruff)
Lineage: Eukaryota; Metazoa; Chordata; Aves; Charadriiformes; Scolopacidae
Description: lncRNA (ENSCPUG00000001299.1)
Source: RNAcentral